CAGAGCGAUACUGAAGUUUUCUGGUAGGCAGGACUGCGUGAUGAUGUGGCGUGGAUGAUCUGUAGUCCAAUCCAAGGACUACAGGGAAUUAGCAGGUCUGCAGAUGAACCUUAACACUGGGACAACCGAUUAGAGCUGUCUUCCAGGCUCAAGAGAGCUGUCUGGUCUGGCCAAAGUGGUAUGUGGGGUGUCAGCACGGUACAGGGAACGGAGAAGGCACGAGAUCCUCUGGGAAAUGCCAACAUCCAAAAGGCAACGGAAGUAAACUUCUUUCCCUCCGCUGUUUGGGCCCCAACGCGGCGAACCCACAGCGUUGGGCGGGAGGGACUUACCGAGGCUUUAAAUGCGGAGGGGCCCUCCAGGCCCACGCAGGCAGCUGACGGCCGAGGCCCAGCUGGCGAGGAGCACCUGGGAAGGAGCGGAGCGCGCAGGGCCUGAGCCCCAGAUGCCAAGGAACCGCAGCACCUGCACCUCGGGUAACCGGCGGAGGUGCCAGCCAGGAGCCCGGGUCACCAGCUCCGCACCCCGCCCACGGCGCCGAAAGUCCCUCUCCGGGGCCCGCCGCCCUCCCAGCCUUCCGAUUGGCGGAGAGGACCAUGGGACCUGGAAGUUGUCUUUGUCCGGCGAGGGCUGCCCUUCCGGUUCCGUUGGGUCCCCCUUUGGCUCGGGUUCCCUGCCCCUCCCCCUUCCCGGAGCCCCGAGGGGCCGGAGCUCCUGGCGGUGCCGGAUCCUGACGGUGGCCUUCCCCCCGGUCUUUUUCAGGGUCAAGUUUGGAUGCCAGAAAAAAACAAAUGAGUGAUCCUGCGAUAUAUGUAUCAGCCAUAUAUGUAUGAACUGUCUAAAGGACAGUUUGCUGGGAAAGCUGAAGAAAGAAAGUGACGUCUGAAUCAUACUUUUUGAAGAGGAUACGGUGGAGAAGAGCUUUUCCGACAGGAGGAACAGUUGCUAUGCUGUGAAGGAAUAACUGAGCAUAACUUGUGUGGGAAGUGGGGGGCGGGCUCUUGUGCAAAGGAUGAGAGAUGAGGCUGGAAAAUUCGACAGAAGUUCAGAUAGGGAAAGGUUUAAUCCUAAAGGAGAUGGGUACUUUUCGAAGAGAUUUGAGCAGGAGAAUGAUAUGGUCAGAUUUACACUGUAGAAAACCAUCUCGUUCAACCUAGAGAAUAGAAAUUUCUAUAAACUGAUUCUGGAGUCUUUAGCUAAAAUCUUUGUGCUCUUAUUGGAGAUUCCUUUGAAGGAGUAAUGGGAUCAGCCUAGUGAGAGGUAACGAAAUCCUGAAAUGAAAUUAUGACAGUAUUAUUGGGAAGAAGGCAAGUAUGCUCUAGGUGAAUGGUGUCAGGACUUCAUAAUAAAUUGGCUGUUAAGGGUGAAAGAGGUAUCA
RNAcentral lists this long non-coding RNA (1378 nucleotides) under Sus scrofa (pig). Its description in RNAcentral is "lncRNA (ENSSSCG00035043392.1)". Lineage: Eukaryota; Metazoa; Chordata; Mammalia; Artiodactyla; Suidae. The record is from RNAcentral.